This 2473-nucleotide long non-coding RNA is filed under the name Equus caballus (horse). RNAcentral's name for it is "lncRNA (ENSECAG00000046711.1)". Lineage: Eukaryota; Metazoa; Chordata; Mammalia; Perissodactyla; Equidae. The record is from RNAcentral.
UAUUUACGAGCAGCCAGCGCUGAGAAAGUGUGCGCCCAGCACGCGAUCUACACCCCCCUCCCCCGACAGUUUCCUAAUCCCUCUAGCCCGGCCUCCCCGUGGGCUCCCCACGUGCGCCUAAGCCCUACACAACUGACCACCGGCGCGAUCAGGUCCCUCAAGCUUCCAGGCUACCCCUGCUCCCCCUGCCCCCUCCAACUCCCAAGGGAAUCCAGGCUUCUGGGACUCCAGGAAAAAGGGAGGAGCUUCAUGUCCAACCAGCAGGAGGGGGCACUUGGCUUCAGAUCCUCCUGCACAGUUCACAGUAUAUCCUAUAUAUCUAGCACAAUGGUUAAGACCUUGGAAUGGGUUUGCAUCUAGACUGUCGCUAAUUCGCCCUAAGAACUUGGGCCUCCUCUCUGAGCUGUAGGUUCCCCAUCUGUGAAUUGGGCAUAAUGAUAGCUACCUCAUAGAUGAUUGUGAGGAAUAUACCGUGACAACAUAUGUGAACUGUGGGGGAUGCUAAACAAUAAAUGGUGUUUCUUAUAAAAGGAUAGCUACAUAUGUACGUAUACACUUCUAAAAAUAGAAAGGUUUUUUAGGAAUUAUGGCUUAGUUUACUAACUGCCUAUUGUUUUCCACCCUGACCUUUAAAAAGCACAUUUACAUGGACUGACCCAGAUAGUUUUUAAUGCGAGAGGCUUUUCCCACUAUACCCCUAGAAUAAAUUAUUGAAGCAAGGCAAAAGUAUUUUGAAAGGAGGAGGAGGAAGUAGUCUUGAAAAAAACAUUGUAUGUAUUCAAAGCUUCACAAGAAACUGCUGCCUAUUGUUUCUGUUGAUUUUGAAACUCAAAAGCAAUAAUAAACGCAAACUAUAAAGCACUGAGCCGGGUCAAGGCGUUAUACCUGAAAGGUGGUGCAACCUGAAGGCACCCUUUUAAAAAUCGCCCCUCUGAGUCCCUCCAGGGGCAGCUAUGCAAAGGAAAUGAGGGGGAUUCGACACUUUUUAAAACGAUUUUUGCCACGUUUGAUGCCUGCAGCAACAGUGGCUGAGUUUGCAAACUUUCUUGGUGCAUCUGCCUAGAGAUCAGAGUCUUCAUAAUAAAGCUCUAGUGCUUUCCCCCUUGGUGUCAGGGUAAAUUCAACACCAUGGGGGCUGGUGCAACCAUCCAAGGUCAAGAGACCUCUUCCAGCCCUUUUCCAGGACUCUGGGGCCUUAGUCCCUGAGUCCCACGGCUACUGUUCCUACUCCCGACCGGCCGGGAUGAUUAGAGACUGGGCCGAGCCACCGAGGCAUCCAGGACAUAGGAUUAUGACCUGGCGCAGAGCAGGGAUCUGUCCUGUUCAAGACUCCAUCUACCACCCCGCGUCUCUUCCGUGGUCUUUUGCCGUUUUGCAGUAUGCAAACAGGGCUGCAUCUCCAUUCCAGCAUGUGGCUCCGAGUCUUGGCGGUUCCCAUCCUGACUCUCCACCCUAGGCCCCAUUCUUGCCACGGGGCAAGCCAAAACUUAUAUCAGCUUUUGUGCCGGCCAACACACACAGCAUUUCCAUGUGUGCAGUCAGAAUGGGUAAUAGAGGCUUUCCCAGGCUUCUGAGGUCCAACACGUUCCUACUCCGAUUCCCGAUCCAGUAGCCACCUCCUCCACAACUGAGGCUCAGACCCGAUGGUCUCUUAGGCACCCAGAGUAGGUUUCCAAUUUAAUUGCAAACACAGGUCUGAAAGACUCUCCAGAGGGGCGGAAAUGAACCACUGUGCCUGAUGAUCCAUGGGAGGUUACAAGUCCCUGGCACUAGCAGGAAAGUGGAGCCCGGGAAUUCCCUCAAUUCCCUCAAGUUGUCAGAAUCUCCGUGCCUUUCCUUGCCUCGGUCUUCUAGGGAUUCAAAGAUUCAGCUCCUGGGCAAGAAAGUGCCAAUGUGAAGAAGUAGAAAGCUAGAAUUAAGAAUACAGAGAAAGACACGAAACCCUCUAUACCUGCCAGUACAUUCUUUCUUUCAUUCAAAAAGCCAUCCUUUAUUGUCGGGUGCCAGGCACAUGGUUCCCGUCUCCAAGAUGCUAGAAGCCUAGAGCUGAGGAAUGAUCUGUUGGGGGCGGCUUUAUUCACUUGUUUCUGUCGGUAAAACUAUUUCUAAGGACUUCUCCCGAGUGGUGAUAGUGAGGUGAGAUGAUCUUUGCGCAGCCUGAGCCGGGCACUGCGGUCUCCGAAGACUCCACGUAGCGACCCGAACUAUGGUCGAAGCCGAAAGCAAAGUUCCAGAAGUAAGCCCCCGCCUUUGAAUUGAAGGAGGUACAGAGAGCGGUGGUCAUUUGUUCUAUCCAGGUUUUGAUCACUUCCUGAUGAUUAGUCAUGGGAUUCUGCAAUGUGCAAAGAAAAGGAGAAAGAUUUUACCGCCGAUUAAAUGCUCGACUACUUUUUCCCCUUUGCUGCCGGUUUAUUUGACAACUCCAAACCAUUGUAUGCUAUUUAACCUCAGCACAGCGAGAGUAGAGGUGAGA